Molecule: ribosomal RNA, 482 nt
Filed under: uncultured bacterium
Lineage: Bacteria
Description: partial 16S ribosomal RNA
Rfam family: Bacterial small subunit ribosomal RNA
Source: RNAcentral
AUUGAACGCUGGCGGCAUGCUUUACACAUGCAAGUCGAACGGUAACAGGCCGCAAGGUGCUGACGAGUGGCGAACGGGUGAGUAAUGCAUCGGAACGUGCCCAGUCGUGGGGGAUAACUACUCGCAAGAGUAGCUAAUACCUCAUACGAUCUAUGGAUGAAAGCGGGGGACCGUAAGGCCUCGCGCGAUUGGAGCGGCCGAUGUCAGAUUAGGUAGUUGGUGGGGUAAAGGCUCACCAAGCCAACGAUCUGUAGCUGGUCUGAGAGGACGACCAGCCACACUGGAACUGAGACACGGCCCAGACUCCUACGGGAGGCAGCAGUGGGGAAUUUUGCGCAAUGGGCGCAAGCCUGAUGCAGCAACGCCGCGUGCAUGAAGAAGGCCUUCGGGUUGUAAACUGCUGUUAUACGGAACGAAACAGCGCUGGUUAAUACCCGGAGCUAAUGACGGUACCGAAAGAAUAAGCACCGGCUAACUACGUG